Molecule: ribosomal RNA, 450 nt
Filed under: uncultured bacterium
Lineage: Bacteria
Description: partial 16S ribosomal RNA
Rfam family: Bacterial small subunit ribosomal RNA
Source: RNAcentral
UCCAGACUCCUACGGGAGGCAGCAGUGGGGGAUAUUGCACAAUGGGGGAAACCCUGAUGCAGCGACGCCGCGUGGGCGAAGAAGUAUUUCGGUAUGUAAAGCCCUAUCAGCAGGGAAGAAGAAAUGACGGUACCUGAGUAAGAAGCACCGGCUAAAUACGUGCCAGCAGCCGCGGUAAUACGUAGGGGGCAAGCGUUAUCCGGAUUUACUGGGUGUAAAGGGAGCGUAGACGGCGGUGCAAGCCAGAUGUGAAAGCCCGGGGCUCAACCCCGGGACUGCAUUUGGAACUGUGCUGCUAGAGUGUCGGAGAGGCAGGCGGAAUUCCUAGUGUAGCGGUGAAAUGCGUAGAUAUUAGGAGGAACACCAGUGGCGAAGGCGGCCUGCUGGACGAUGACUGACGUUGAGGCUCGAAAGCGUGGGGAGCAAACAGGAUUAGAUACCCUCGUAUAC